CCUACGGGAGGCAGCAGUAGGGAAUCUUGUGCAAUGGGCGAAAGCCUGACACAGCAACUCCGCGUGCGGGAAGAAGGCCUUAGGGUUGUAAACCGCUUUUGGCAGGAACGAAAAUGACGGUACCUGCAGAAUAAGGUGCGGCCAACUACGUGCCAGCAGCCGCGGUGACACGUAGGCACCAAGCGUUGUCCGGAUUUAUUGGGCGUAAAGAGCUCGUAGGCGGUUCAGUUAGUCGGGUGUGAAAACUCUGGGCUUAACCCGGAGACGCCACUCGAUACUGCUGGGCUAGAAUUCGGUAGGGGAGUGGGGAAUUCCUGGUGUAGCGGUGAAAUGCGCAGAUAUCAGGAGGAACACCGGUGGCGAAGGCGCCACUCUGGGCCGACAUUGACGCUGAGGAGCGAAAGCGUGGGUAGCAAACAGGAUUAGAUACCCUGGUAGUCCACGCCGUAAACGGUGGGCACUAGGUGUGGGUUCCAACCAACGGAAUCCGUGCCGUCGCAAACGCAUUAAGUGCCCCGCCUGGGGAGUACGGCCGCAAGGUUAAAACUCAAAGGAAUUGACGG
This 563-nucleotide ribosomal RNA is filed under the name uncultured bacterium. Its description in RNAcentral is "bacterial SSU rRNA". It matches the Rfam family "Bacterial small subunit ribosomal RNA", at positions 338 to 916 of the family's 1533-position model. The record is from RNAcentral.